Molecule: long non-coding RNA, 408 nt
Filed under: Daucus carota (carrot)
Lineage: Eukaryota; Viridiplantae; Streptophyta; Magnoliopsida; Apiales; Apiaceae
Description: long non-coding RNA (DCAR_LNC007078)
Source: RNAcentral
AAAUCCAAGCAAAUCGAAGCUACAAUUAAAGUGAAACGCUGUUGAAGCCCUAGUUUCACUGAAGACACAAUUCAAUCGAAGCCCUAAGAAAAAUAAAGACAAAAAAUUAAGAGAAUUACAGUGAAAAGCAAAAUGAAGAAAAAGAACUAUAAACCGGGAGCCCUAAUUCCGCAAAAUAAAGAAGCUCCGAAUCGAAACCCCGAAUGAACCUGAGACCAAGCCUUAAUCCAUUGACAGUUGAGUUUGAGGGGAGAGGAUCCCCGAUUUACCUAAUCGCCGGUGAGUUCGAGCAGAUAGAGGAGUGGUUCAACCGAGAGAGCUGAGGUUCAGGGGAGAUGAGUGAGGUUGAGCGGAUGUGAGGUGAGUGAAAUAUAUUUGACUGAAAUGUGAAAUAUGUCUGAAUGUCUA